UCAAACUAUUUAGAGGAAGUAAAAGUCGUAACAAGGUUUCCGUAGGUGAACCUGCGGAAGGAUCAUUAACGUACCACCGACGGCGAGGGUGCGCCCGGCUCCGCCCCGAAGAGGGGCCGUGCAGCGGGUGCGUCUGAGCCGCUCAACCUUUGCAAACCCACUGUGCACCUUUGUCGGUGGAGGGCCCCCCAGGGCCCCGAGCCGGAUCACAGACCACAAAGACCAAUGAAUGACCGGGCGGACACAGCUCCGUUCUAAUAGAAACAACUUUCAACAAUGGAUCUCUUGGCUCUCGCAUCGAUGAAGAACGCAGC
Molecule: unclassified non-coding RNA, 314 nt
Filed under: uncultured fungus
Lineage: Eukaryota; Fungi
Description: partial contains small subunit ribosomal RNA, internal transcribed spacer 1, and 5.8S ribosomal RNA
Rfam family: Eukaryotic small subunit ribosomal RNA (bases 1-68)
Source: RNAcentral